Molecule: long non-coding RNA, 277 nt
Filed under: Carica papaya (papaya)
Lineage: Eukaryota; Viridiplantae; Streptophyta; Magnoliopsida; Brassicales; Caricaceae
Description: long non-coding RNA (CPAP_LNC003248)
Source: RNAcentral
CUUAUUCCAUGUUAUGGAAUUGAAGUUAAUUAUAAAUAACACGGUAUUUUGCAUAAUUUAAAAAAUAUCGAUAAUUAUUUACAAGUUACUAAUGGAGCCGGAACUAGUUAUUUAUUACUGUUUGUCAUGUUUAAACUGAUUGCUUGAUUCUACAAUUUCGAAUGCAUGAUGAUACACUGGAAUUAGUAAGAUGAUUCGAUUGUGUUUUCUUGAUGCAUGUAUUGUUUAUUUUGCAUGGUUUACAGUUAAAUUGUGAAACUGAAAAUUAAAUAUAAAU